This is a long non-coding RNA of Protopterus annectens (West African lungfish), 1538 nucleotides long. RefSeq lists it as uncharacterized. The transcript has 4 exons. The record is from RefSeq and is a predicted model, not a curated record. NCBI's taxonomy places the organism in Eukaryota, Metazoa, Chordata, Ceratodontiformes, Protopteridae.
UGAUUUAAGGGCCUAGGCAGCAAGGGGAAGCUCUCAGGGUGUGUAUCCCAUCAAAAACACAUACAAAUCGGUCUGAUUUUCACUCAAGGGUCAUUUUUAAUUUCCAGGCAUUUUAUUUAGUUUCUGGAGGUGGAAUCUGCUUGAAAACUGACAGGAAAGUCUCUUUUGCUUCCUUGGGAAACUUGCAGUGUGGAGAUAGAAGUUGCCUUGCUUGCCUUAUGUGAACAGGCAGAUCUUGAGCAAAUGAAAUUCCACUAUUAUUCCAGAUGAUAAAUGGAUAGGAAUGCUUUCAUGCUUUGCUCAGAUGGCAAUUUCAAAUGGUGAAGGUCCAGGUAGUGGAAUCUGGAAGGGAGAUCUGGAAACUUUGAAGACUUACGUUGACUAUAUAAAUGGGACGACAGAAUGUCUGCCGAUUUUCUUGAUGGGAUAUAGAAGUGCUAUGUUGAAUGAUAUUAUGACCGAAGUUUCCAAUGAAAGAAAAGGGGCAACUGCACCAUUCUUCAAUGCAGUAAGAAAUACAAUGUUGGAUGCAGUGCCUAAUACCAUAGUCAACAAAGAUAAAAUUAGAUAUGUGACUACGUUUAGUAGGAAGACAAGGCAUGUUAUGCAAGUGAUACAAAAAAAAUUGGAAAGUAUUAAUGGCUAUGCCUGAAUUGAAGCCUAUUAUAGGCACUAAACCCUGUUUUGCAUAUAGUACAAGAAAAAACCUAAAAAUAAUGUUAUGUUACAAGGAUUUUAAGAUGCCUAGAGUAAUUAAUAACAAACAAGGUACGUUCCCAUGUUAUAAUUGCAGUUGUUGUAAAAACAUUAUUGUUUGCAAUUAUUUUAUUCAUACAGUAACGGGGAGAAAGUUUAUAUUUUCUUGUUAUGCAACGUGUAAUACUUAUUGUGCUGUUUAUCUUGCUACAUGUUCACAAUGUCCAUGUUUUUACAUUGGUAAAUGUAGUUGAAAGUUCAAAAAACAUAUUAUAGAGCAUAAAUCGGACAUUAGAAGAAAUGUUAUAACAAAUGCUUUGGCUAAACAUAUUAUGGAUAAUGAUGAUACACAUACUUUCAAAUUCAGAGCCGUUAGUGUUAUACAUAAAAAUGUCAGGAGAGGGACAUAAAUAAUAUCUUGGAGAAUGAAGACUACAGUUGGAUCUUAAGCUUCAAGGCUGAUAGUCUUCCAGGCUUGAACAAUGCAAUUAGUCUAAAACCAGUUUUAAUUAGGAAGCAAAUGCAAUUGUGAUAAUAUCACUUGGUUUUACUAUGAUUGAGUGGCAGUGUCAAGUGUUUUAAUGCUCAAUUUAUAUAAAUUGAAUGUGUUUUAAUACUUUGUUCAUAAAGCACUGAGGAAGGGGAAACCUGAAAGCUUUGCUUACCGUUUUGUUUUUAUUAAAGUCUGGAGUGUUUCUUUGUUUCUGAGUUUUGUUUUCGGAUAUUGGCCAUCUGAACAGGGUAUUCUUGAAAGUGUUGUCUUCAUGUAUUGAAAGAGCUCACAGGGCACUUGUGGCCCCUCUGUCAUCAAAAAAAGUAAUACAAAUCUGAGAUCCAUAAUU